AAGUCCUAUAAACACA
Molecule: transfer RNA, 16 nt
Filed under: Ameerega trivittata (three-striped poison frog)
Lineage: Eukaryota; Metazoa; Chordata; Amphibia; Anura; Dendrobatidae
Description: partial tRNA-Phe
Source: RNAcentral